Long non-coding RNA from Halichondria panicea, 2514 nucleotides. RefSeq lists it as uncharacterized. The transcript is spliced from 6 exons. Lineage: Eukaryota; Metazoa; Porifera; Demospongiae; Suberitida; Halichondriidae. The record is from RefSeq and is a predicted model, not a curated record.
UGGCUUGGAAAGCAUCACACAAUAAUAUACACGAAUAUAUGUGACAGGCUCUGGGAAAACCAGACUAUUGGAGCAGACUAAAAUAUGUGUGAUUAAUGUACCAAAUAAUAGAGCAGAGCAUUGCCUACACAAUGAUAUGCUUAGUGUUCACAUACCUAGUUUCAUACCCGAGUCAUGCACGUUGGAAACUCGAAGCCGUAAAAUGUAGUAUCGAGAAAAACGACUCUCAAAGAUUGCUUAAUUAGGAAAAAUAAGGUAAUAGCGAAACUUUGGACGAAGCGUUUCGAUGGAAAGAGUUGGAUUUAGAGCAUCAGAUUUUACAGAGAGGUAGUAGAAGGACUGUAGAUACUUAUACAUCAAUAACAUUUUAUUUGAGAUUUUAUACUGUUGGCAUAAAUUUAGCUGUAGCUCAAUACUAAAUUCUGCUCCAAUAGUCUGGUUUUCCCAGAGCCUGUCACAUAUGUUCUUAUAUUGAUAUUAUGUCUCAAUGUGAACUAUUUAUAGCAUGUGAAUUUUUUUUAUUACUUUGUGUGUGAUCAUGUAGUAGUAAUUAUGUACAUAUGUGUAAACAAUCGCUAAUUAUGGGGGUGUACUUGGUUGCUAGGCAACGACGAUGACAUCACAGGAACCUGUGGAAGUUAGUUUCAGAAUUUUACCAGGUAUGGUUCAUGAGAUAUAAAUUUUUAAAGAAAAAAAUGGAAAUAUUCUGUUUUAUUCUCAUUUAAUUAAAGCAGGGAAAGGGUUAAUAUAAUAAUUAUUAAGUACAUCAAGUAUAAUUCAUGUACAAGAUUGCACUGUAAACAAGAUUGCACUGUAAAGUAUAUAAUUAUGUCUAGCGUAUAAUAAUAAAUGAUACAAGUAUACAGUACGUAUACGUACAUAGUAUAUACUUAGUCUAGUAUUGUCAAGUUUGACAAUUAAGUUAGCAUCAGAUCCAGACAUCAUUGAAUUAUAGACGCAAUCCUAUUUAAUGCACAUGAUAAUUGACUUGUUGUCUGGCAACUAUAUUGAGCCACGCCCUGCCCUAAAGCCUGACCCCAAUUUUUGAGCAUGUGCGGUCUGAACAACACGUGUCUAGCUAGCUGACUGAGUGUACUAGCUGACUGAGUGUAACAAUGGUUAACAUUAACAGUAGGCCUAGGCAGAGGGCUAGGGGUAGAACAGCCGCUUCACAAAUUAUGAUGAUGUCAAGAAACCUGUCCACAACUACCACUGAAGACGGUGCACCAACUGACCAUGAAUAUGGACCCAAUAUUCCUCUCACCAAUAUUCCUCUCACCAUCUAUUUGAUGAUCAAGAUUUGAGUGAUCUGGAAUUCGAAGCUAAGGUUGCGGAGCAAGAUAGCCAACAACACCAAUAUUGACCUGAAAUGCAUCAAGAGAAAAAUCUACUUUUACUUCUCCAAAUACCUCUGGUUUUUCGUCAAUGUUAUCAACCCCUCAUUCUCAUGCCGUGAGUUGUAGGAGUGAUGUUGAAGACAGAGCCCACUCAACACCGAAUUCUCGAUUUGAUCUUCGUUCAAUUCUUCAAGAGCAGCAGGGAAUCCUUCAAAAAAUUCUCAGCAAUCAAGAAACUAUCCAAAAAACACAAAGCAGUUUUGAAGAGAGACUAAAGAAGCUUGAGUCAGUGGGUUCGACACCUGCGUCAAGCAGUGAUACCAGUGUGAAAAAGAAGCAAGCAGUCACACGUACUUUGUCUAUGGUUCACACUGCAUUGGAGGAGAAGAGAAGAUUCGACCUGAGGAAAGGUAGUUAAGUAUUCAUUCUUCUUUGUCUGAUUGUUUUAUUUACAGUUCCACGUCUCACCACAACAAGGAGGUGCGGAAGAAGAUUGUAACUGGGUUAUUGAGUCAAAGUGAUUGUAAUUCUUCUGAAAAAGUUAUCAUUGGUAAGAUGUAUCACGCAUUGUUGUCUGACUAAUACAAACACAGCUAGAUGCUACCAAAAUCUGCACCGGCAAUGGAGUGAAAAGCAGUCUGGAAAAGAGAACUAUGUUGGAAAGCAACACCAACAAAGAAAAUAUCGGUCACGAAGGCAAAGGACAUUUGAGCGAAGGGGCCAUGUAGUCACUGAGAAGGAGCAGAAAAAGUACUGGAGUCACCUAUCUCACUUGUACAUGACUGAGGAAUCUGACGAUCCCUCAGAUGAAAACAAAAUCGUCUUACACAAAUUAUCCUGGAGGUCGGAUGGUCUCAAUAAGUUUUUAAGCACUCUCAAUGACCGAGCCAAGAAAUUGUCACCUGAUACGUUGGCAGCCAUCUGCAUCCACUAGGACGCCCCCCGCUGGGCUGUAAAAGGGAAUGAUCCUGUGCAAGUCUGAUCAUGGUGUAGGUGCUUCUUCGUCAAGAACUGAACUGAACUUAUUACGCUCUUUGUGUAGGUGCUUCUUCGUCAAGAACUGAACUGAACUUAUGUCCUUGUUGCUUUUCAAUGUUAUAUAAUUAUUACACAUGAAGAUGAUUGGCAAUUAAUUUACAAUAAAUUGGUCGUUAGUUUCCAUGUAGUUUACACAAUA